This 369-nucleotide ribosomal RNA is filed under the name uncultured eukaryote. Its description in RNAcentral is "partial 18S ribosomal RNA". It matches the Rfam family "Eukaryotic small subunit ribosomal RNA", at positions 592 to 975 of the family's 1831-position model. The record is from RNAcentral.
CAAUAGCGUAUAUUAAAGUUGUUGCAGUUAAAAAGCUCGUAGUUGGACCUUGGACCUGGACAGGCGGUCCGCCUCACGGCGAGUACUGUCUUGCUGGGUCUUUCCUCUUGGUGAUCUGUUGUUUCGGCAGCAGGGAACCAGGACCUUUACUUUGAAAAAAUAAGAGUGUUCAAAGCAGGCUCGACGCCGGAAUAUAUUAGCAUGGAAUAAUAAAAUAGGACGUGCGGUUCUAUUUUGUUGGUUUUUGGAAUCGCCGUAAUGAUUAAUAGGGACAGUCGGGGGCAUUAGUACUCACAUGCUAGAGGUGAAAUUCUUGGAUUUUGUGAAGACUAACUUCUGCGAAAGCAUUUGCCAAGGAUGUUUUCAUUA